GUUUCGGUAGCACGGUGGUUAAUGCACAGCCCCGGAAAGGUUGAGACGUGGGUUCGAUUCCCGCCUGGGAUG
This 72-nucleotide transfer RNA is filed under the name Nippostrongylus brasiliensis. It matches the Rfam family "tRNA". Rfam says of the family: Transfer RNA (tRNA) molecules are approximately 80 nucleotides in length. Their secondary structure includes four short double-helical elements and three loops (D, anti-codon, and T loops). Lineage: Eukaryota; Metazoa; Nematoda; Chromadorea; Rhabditida; Heligmosomidae. The record is from Rfam by way of RNAcentral.